UAUGAGAGUUUGAUCCUGGCUCAGGACGAACGCUGGCGGCGUGCCUAAUACAUGCAAGUCGAACGCUUUUUCUUUCACCGGAGCUUGCUCCACCGAAAGAAAAAGAGUGGCGAACGGGUGAGUAACACGUGGGUAACCUGCCCAUCAGAAGGGGAUAACACUUGGAAACAGGUGCUAAUACCGUAUAACACUAUUUUCCGCAUGGAAGAAAGUUGAAAGGCGCUUUUGCGUCACUGAUGGAUGGACCCGCGGUGCAUUAGCUAGUUGGUGAGGUAACGGCUCACCAAGGCCACGAUGCAUAGCCGACCUGAGAGGGUGAUCGGCCACACUGGGACUGAGACACGGCCCAGACUCCUACGGGAGGCAGCAGUAGGGAAUCUUCGGCAAUGGACGAAAGUCUGACCGAGCAACGCCGCGUGAGUGAAGAAGGUUUUCGGAUCGUAAAACUCUGUUGUUAGAGAAGAACAAGGAUGAGAGUAGAACGUUCAUCCCUUGACGGUAUCUAACCAGAAAGCCACGGCUAACUACGUGCCAGCAGCCACGGUAAUACGUAGGUGGCAAGCGUUGUCCGGAUUUAUUGGGCGUAAAGCGAGCGCAGGCGGUUUCUUAAGUCUGAUGUGAAAGCCCCCGGCUCAACCGGGGAGGGUCAUUGGAAACUGGGAGACUUGAGUGCAGAAGAGGAGAGUGGAAUUCCAUGUGUAGCGGUGAAAUGCGUAGAUAUAUGGAGGAACACCAGUGGCGAAGGCGGCUCUCUGGUCUGUAACUGACGCUGAGGCUCGAAAGCGUGGGGAGCGAACAGGAUUAGAUACCCUGGUAGUCCACGCCGUAAACGAUGAGUGCUAAGUGUUGGAGGGUUUCCGCCCUUCAGUGCUGCAGCAAACGCAUUAAGCACUCCGCCUGGGGAGUACGACCGCAAGGUUGAAACUCAAAGGAAUUGACGGGGGCCCGCACAAGCGGUGGAGCAUGUGGUUUAAUUCGAAGCAACGCGAAGAACCUUACCAGGUCUUGACAUCCUUUGACC
This 1021-nucleotide ribosomal RNA is filed under the name Klebsiella pneumoniae. RNAcentral's name for it is "bacterial SSU rRNA". It matches the Rfam family "Bacterial small subunit ribosomal RNA", at positions 1 to 996 of the family's 1533-position model. The record is from RNAcentral. Lineage: Bacteria; Pseudomonadati; Pseudomonadota; Gammaproteobacteria; Enterobacterales; Enterobacteriaceae.